Molecule: ribosomal RNA, 409 nt
Filed under: uncultured bacterium
Lineage: Bacteria
Description: bacterial SSU rRNA
Rfam family: Bacterial small subunit ribosomal RNA
Source: RNAcentral
GUGGGGAAUAUUGCACAAUGGGGGAAACCCUGAUCCAGCGACGCCGCGUGAGUGAAGAAGUAUCUCGGUAUGUAAAGCUCUAUCAGCAGGGAAGAAAGAAAUGACGGUACCUGAGUAAGAAGCCCCGGCUAACUACGUGCCAGCAGCCGCGGUAAUACGUAGGGGGCAAGCGUUAUCCGGAAUUACUGGGUGUAAAGGGAGCGUAGACGGCGGUGUAAGUCUGGAGUGAAAGGCGGGGGCCCAACCCCCGGACUGCUCUGGAAACUAUACGGCUGGAGUGCAGGAGAGGUGAGCGGAAUUCCUAGUGUAGCGGUGAAAUGCGUAGAUAUUAGGAGGAACACCAGUGGCGAAGGCGGCUCACUGGACUGUAACUGACGUUGAGGCUCGAAAGCGUGGGGAGCAAACAGGA